UUGAAUAUGUCAUCGUGAAGGGCAAUGUGUGACUCCUGUAAAACAGGUCUGCUUUAUGGUCUGUGGCUGAGCAAGCAGGAAAGCAGAUGACAGAGGCAAAAGGAAACAUGAACUCUGGGGACUCCGAGGUCCAGCUUACUACCAGGAUGUGUAGGUUGUAGACGUUGAUGAUAAAAAGGGUCUACCGGAACCUGACAAAUACAGAGGUGGAUGUGCAGGGAUGUGCGAGGAGUCGGGUGAAGCCCUGGCGGAGGUCUUCUGUCUUGUCAGUUCUUCUUGAGAUAGUGGAGGUGGAAGAGCAUUGGUGGAGGGUAAGACCUUGUCUUAGGAGAUAUUUAGGGUUGCUGUAUAAUAAUAAAAAGUUUACUUAUUUAGGUCUAAGUUACUUUACUACUGUAGCUGAUGUGACUUCUGUGUUCCUCUGAAGCCAGAAACUG
Molecule: long non-coding RNA, 437 nt
Filed under: Rattus norvegicus (Norway rat)
Lineage: Eukaryota; Metazoa; Chordata; Mammalia; Rodentia; Muridae
Description: long non-coding RNA NONRATT032254
Source: RNAcentral